This 392-nucleotide unclassified non-coding RNA is filed under the name uncultured bacterium. RNAcentral's name for it is "contains 16S-23S intergenic spacer region". The record is from RNAcentral.
UCCUGGUUGUUCCAGGCAGUCCUCCAAGAGUGCUUCCGCCGAUCUUUCGACCAACAGAUUAGCAACAUGGAGCAAUGGUUGCGCUCGUUGCGGGACUUAACCCAACAUCUCACGACACGAGCUGACGACAGCCAUGCAGCACCUGUACAGGCUCCCGACUUAACGGGUCGUUCCCCUUUCAGUUCACUACUUCCUGUAUGUCAAGUCCUGGUGAGGUUCUUCGCGUAGCAUCGAAUUAAACCACAUGUUCCACCGCUUGUGCGGGUCCCCGUCAAUUCCUUUGAGUUUUAACCUUGCGGCCGUAGUCCCCAGGUGGAGUACUUAAUGCGUUAGCUGCGGCACUGAGCCCGAAGGCCCAACACCUAGUACUCAUCGUUUACGGCUAGGACUAC